CGCAGGCUGCAACCCGCCUGCGUGAAGUUGGAAUCGCUAGUAAUCGCGGAUCAGCAUGCCGCGGUGAAUACGUUCCCGGGCCUUGUACACACCGCCCGUCACACCAUGAGAGUUGGGAAUACCCGAAGCCUGUGAGCUAACUUUACGAGGCAGCAGUCGAAGGUAGAAUCAAUGAUUGGGGUGAAGUCGUAACAAGGUAGC
RNAcentral lists this ribosomal RNA (201 nucleotides) under uncultured bacterium. RNAcentral's name for it is "partial 16S ribosomal RNA". It matches the Rfam family "Bacterial small subunit ribosomal RNA", at positions 1299 to 1500 of the family's 1533-position model. The record is from RNAcentral.